GGAAGUAAAAGUCUAACAAGGUUUCCGUAGGUGAACCUGCGGAAGGAUCAUUAUUGUAUAACCGAGGUGCGAGGGCUGUCGCUGACCCGAAAGGUCGUGCACGCCCGAGUGCCCUCACACAUCCAUCUCACCCCUAUGUGCACCACCGCGUGGGUCCCCCUUUGGCUUGUUCGGAGGGGGGCUUACGUUUUCACACAAACUUUGUAUGCAGUGUAGAAUGUAUUUUUUGUUUUUGCGAUCACGCAAUCAAUACAACUUUCAACAACGGAUCUCUUGGCUCUC
This 282-nucleotide unclassified non-coding RNA is filed under the name plant metagenome. RNAcentral describes it as "partial contains small subunit ribosomal RNA, internal transcribed spacer 1, and 5.8S ribosomal RNA". The stretch from base 1 to 53 matches the Rfam family "Eukaryotic small subunit ribosomal RNA", at positions 1778 to 1831 of the family's 1831-position model. The record is from RNAcentral.